CCUUCGGGUUGUAAACCGCUUUUGUCCGGGAAGAAAAGGCAUCUCCUAAUACGAGGCGCUCUUGACGGUACUGGAAGAAUAAGCACCGGCUAACUACGUGC
RNAcentral lists this ribosomal RNA (101 nucleotides) under uncultured bacterium. RNAcentral's name for it is "partial 16S ribosomal RNA". The record is from RNAcentral.